GCUGGCGGCGUGCCUAAUACAUGCAAGUCGAGCGAAUGGAUUGAGAGCUUGCUCUCAAGAAGUUAGCGGCGGACGGGUGAGUAACACGUGGGUAACCUGCCCAUAAGACUGGGAUAACUCCGGGAAACCGGGGCUAAUACCGGAUAAYAUUUUGAACUGCAUGGUUCGAAAUUGAAAGGCGGCUUCGGCUGUCACUUAUGGAUGGACCCGCGUCGCAUUAGCUAGUUGGUGAGGUAACGGCUCACCAAGGCAACGAUGCGUAGCC
Molecule: ribosomal RNA, 265 nt
Filed under: Bacillus thuringiensis serovar cameroun
Lineage: Bacteria; Bacillati; Bacillota; Bacilli; Caryophanales; Bacillaceae
Description: partial 16S ribosomal RNA
Rfam family: Bacterial small subunit ribosomal RNA
Source: RNAcentral